GACGAACCGAGCGAACGUUAUUCGGAAUCACUGGGCUUAAAGGGCGCGUAGGCGGGCCAUCAAGUCAGGGGUGAAAGCCCCCAGCUCAACUGGGGAAGUGCCUUUGAUACUGGUGGUCUCGAGGGGGAUAGGGGCAUGCGGAACUUCCGGUGGAGCGGUGAAAUGCGUAGAUAUCGGAAGGAACACCGGUGGCGAAAGCGACGGACUGGAUCUCUUCUGACGCUGAGGCGCGAAAGCCAGGGGAGCAAACGGG
Molecule: ribosomal RNA, 253 nt
Filed under: uncultured bacterium
Lineage: Bacteria
Description: partial 16S ribosomal RNA
Rfam family: Bacterial small subunit ribosomal RNA
Source: RNAcentral